AGAUCACCGAAGUCAAGCAUCAUUGGGCGCCGUCAGUACUUGGGUGGGUGACCACCUGGGAACACUGCGUGCCGUU
This is a non-coding RNA of Caerostris darwini, 76 nucleotides long. Lineage: Eukaryota; Metazoa; Arthropoda; Arachnida; Araneae; Araneidae. The record is from the annotation of a GenBank genome assembly.